RNAcentral lists this ribosomal RNA (483 nucleotides) under uncultured bacterium. Its description in RNAcentral is "partial 16S ribosomal RNA". It matches the Rfam family "Bacterial small subunit ribosomal RNA", at positions 29 to 506 of the family's 1533-position model. The record is from RNAcentral.
AUUGAACGCUGGCGGAAUGCUUUACACAUGCAAGUCGAACGGCAGCACGGGGGCAGCCCUGGUGGCGAGUGGCGAACGGGUGAGUAAUACAUCGGAACGUGCCCGGUCGUGGGGGAUAACGUAGCGAAAGUUACGCUAAUACCGCAUACGAUCUGAGGAUGAAAGCGGGGGACCUUCGGGCCUCGCGCGAUCGGAGCGGCCGAUGUCAGAUUAGGUAGUUGGUGGGGUAAAGGCCUACCAAGCCGACGAUCUGUAGCUGGUCUGAGAGGACGACCAGCCAACUGGGGACUGAGCAACGGCCCAGACCCCCAGGGGGGGCGGCGGGGGGGAAUUUGGGAAAAGGGGGGCAAGCCUGACCCAGCCAUUCGGGGGGCAGGAGGAAGGCCUGCGGGUGGUAAACUGUUUUUGUACGGAACAAAAAGGCUCUGGCUAAAACCUGGGGCUCAGGACGGGACCGAAAAAAAAAGAACGGGCAAAUUACGG